RNAcentral lists this transfer RNA (95 nucleotides) under Candidatus Zambryskibacteria bacterium RIFCSPHIGHO2_12_FULL_44_12b. RNAcentral's name for it is "tRNA-Val". It matches the Rfam family "tRNA". Rfam says of the family: Transfer RNA (tRNA) molecules are approximately 80 nucleotides in length. Their secondary structure includes four short double-helical elements and three loops (D, anti-codon, and T loops). RNAcentral also lists the same sequence under 1 other name. Lineage: Bacteria; Candidatus Zambryskiibacteriota. The record is from RNAcentral.
GGGUCCGUAGCUCAAAAAACACCAUACCCAGUAUGGUGGGUAGAAGCGCCGGAUUGACAUCCCGGAGGUUGGAGGUUCAAAUCCUCCCGGACCCA